AGAACGAACGCUGGCGGCAUGCUUAACACAUGCAAGUCGAACGAACCCUUCGGGGUUAGUGGCGCACGGGUGCGUAACGCGUGGGAAUCUGCCCUUUGCUACGGAAUAACAGUGAGAAAUUACUGCUAAUACCGUAUGAUGUCGAAAGACCAAAGAUUUAUCGGCAAGGGAUGAGCCCGCGUAGGAUUAGCUUGUUGGUGAGGUAAAGCUCACCAAGGCGACGAUCCUUAGCUGGUCUGAGAGGAUGAUCAGCCACACGUGGGACUGAGACACGGCCCAGACCUCCUACGGGAGCAGCGAGUAGGGAA
This 308-nucleotide ribosomal RNA is filed under the name uncultured soil bacterium. RNAcentral's name for it is "bacterial SSU rRNA". It matches the Rfam family "Bacterial small subunit ribosomal RNA", at positions 26 to 361 of the family's 1533-position model. The record is from RNAcentral.